UUUUGAUGCAGCGGUCAAUGGCUUCCUUUCCCAAUCGCAACCCCUUGACGCAGAUCGAUGUCAGCUUUAUCGCCUUAUCCUCGACAUCACAACCACCAGCACCACUGUUCCCACAACCUCAAGCCAUCGUUGCCCCCACCAAGCACAGGGUAGCGGUCUCUUCACGCGGGGCCGCAUCCAUUGCUCUCUCCCUCAUCUCUGGCCAAGACUCGGCUCCAGCAACAACAGAAAAAGAUGAUGAUUCCGGACUCCUUCCAUUGACAAUCAAAGGGGACCGACGGUCCUAGUCCUAGAACUAGCCACACCAUCCUCCAACGAAGCACUCAAAGCGCUUGGUUCGCCACUUUGAUUCGCAGCUGAACCACCAGAGAUCCUAGUCUCUUUCAGGGUGUCUCCUAAUAAAAAUGAGUUUCCAUCUAAACUUGCUAGGCUUUCCUCUUCGUUUUUUCGGUUGUUAAUUUUUGCUCUUGUUAGUCUCUUUUUUUCAUUUUGAAACUCCCUGCUGCAAAAUUGAUUAUGAAUUCUCGUCUGUUUUGAGAGCCUGUUCCGGAGGAGCAUUGUGAUUGAGUACUCUAGGUUGAAGAGAAAAAAUUGAAGUCACUUACCUUACCCGCGAUCCAUGUAACCUCAUUUAUAUUUUCC
This 642-nucleotide long non-coding RNA is filed under the name Linum usitatissimum (flax). RNAcentral's name for it is "long non-coding RNA (LUSI_LNC006639)". The record is from RNAcentral. Lineage: Eukaryota; Viridiplantae; Streptophyta; Magnoliopsida; Malpighiales; Linaceae.